RNAcentral lists this ribosomal RNA (457 nucleotides) under uncultured bacterium. RNAcentral's name for it is "partial 16S ribosomal RNA". It matches the Rfam family "Bacterial small subunit ribosomal RNA", at positions 338 to 795 of the family's 1533-position model. The record is from RNAcentral.
CCUACGGGUGGCAGCAGUGGGGAAUAUUGCACAAUGGGGGAAACCCUGAUGCAGCGACGCCGCGUGAGUGAAGAAGUAUUUCGGUAUGUAAAGCUCUAUCAGCAGGGAAGAAAUAGCGACCUUUGGGUCGUCAGACGGUACCUGUUUAAGAAUCCCCGGCUACCUACGUGCCCGCAUCCUCGGUAAUAUGUAGGGGGCAAGCGGUAUCCGGAUUUAGUGGGUUUAAAGGGUGCGUAGGCGGAAUGCAAAGUCAGCGGUAAAAGCGCGGGGCUAAACCUCGAUCCGCCGUUGAAACUGGCGUUCUGGAGUGGGCGAGAAGUAUGCGGAAUGCGUGGUGUAGCGGUGAAAUGCAUAGAUAUCACGCAGAACUCCGAUUGCGAAGGCAGCAUACCGGCGCCCAACUGACGCUGAAGCACGAAAGCGUGGGGAUCGAACAGGAUUAGAUACCCGGGUAGUC